Molecule: ribosomal RNA, 500 nt
Filed under: uncultured bacterium
Lineage: Bacteria
Description: partial 16S ribosomal RNA
Rfam family: Bacterial small subunit ribosomal RNA
Source: RNAcentral
AUUGAACGCUGGCGGCAUGCCUUACACAUGCAAGUCGAACGGCAGCACGGGAGCAAUCCUGGUGGCGAGUGGCGAACGGGUGAGUAAUAUAUCGGAACGUGCCCAGUCGUGGGGGAUGACGUAGCGAAAGCUACGCUAAUACCGCAUACGAUCUAUGGAUGACAGCGGGGGAUCGCAAGACCGCGCGCGAUUGGAGCGCCCGAUAUCAGAUUAGGUAGUUGGUGAGGUAAAGGCUCACCAAGCCGACGAUCUCGAGCUGGUCUGAGAGGACUACCAGCCACACUGGGACUGAGACACGGCCCAGACUCCUACGGGAGGCAGCAGUGGGGAAUUUUGGACAAUGGGCGCAAGCCUGAUCCAGCAAUGCCGCGUGCAGGAUGAAGGCCUUCGGGUUGUAAACUGCUUUUGUACGGAACGAAACGGCGAGCUCUAAUACAGUUUGCUAAUGACGGUACCGUAAGAAUAAGCACCGGCUAACUACGUGCCAGCCGCCGCGGUAA